Molecule: ribosomal RNA, 468 nt
Filed under: uncultured bacterium
Lineage: Bacteria
Description: partial 16S ribosomal RNA
Rfam family: Bacterial small subunit ribosomal RNA
Source: RNAcentral
GACGAACGCUGGCGGCGUGCUUAACACAUGCAAGUCGAACGGAAAGGCCCUGCUUUUGCGGGGUGCUCGUGUGGCGAACGGGUGAGUAAAACGUGAGUAACAUGCCCUUGACUUUCGGAUAACUUCAGGAAAAUGGGGCUAAUACCGGAUAGGAGCUCCUGCUGCAUGGUGGGGGUUGGAAAGUUUCGGCGGUUGGGGAUGGACUCGCGGCUUAUCAGCUGGUUGGUGGGGUAGUGGCUGACCAAGGCUUUGACGGGUAGCCGGCCUGAGAGGGUGACCGGCCACAUUGGGACUGAGAUACGGCGCAGACGCCUACGGGAGGCAGCAGUGGGGAAUAUUGCACAAUGGGCGGAAGCCUGAUGCAGCAACGCCGCGUGCGUGAUGACGGCCUUCGGGUUGUAAACCGCUUUCGCCGGUGACGAAGCGUGAGUGACGGUAAUGGGUAAAGAAGCACCGGCUAACUACGUG